RNAcentral lists this transfer RNA (68 nucleotides) under Deroplatys truncata. RNAcentral's name for it is "tRNA-His". Lineage: Eukaryota; Metazoa; Arthropoda; Insecta; Mantodea; Mantidae. The record is from RNAcentral.
ACUUAAAUAGUUUAUCAUAAAAUUAUGAUUUGUGGUAUCAUGGAUAUAAUGAAUAGUUAUUUUAAGUU